CGUAAGACAGUUCGGUCCCUAUCUGAUGCAGGCGCAGGAUAUUUGAAGGGAGCUGUCUCUAGUACGAGAGGACCGAGACAGACGAACCGACGGUGUUCCAGUUAUCACGCCAGUGGUAAUGGCUGGGUAGCCGCGUUCGGAAAGGAUAAGUGCUGAAGGCAUCUAAGCACGAAGCCCACCCUAAGAAUAGAUAUCCCUGAAGACGCCUUGGAGACUACAAGGUUGAUAGGCACCAAGUGUAAGGGCCGUGAGGCCUUCAGCUUAGGUGUACUAAUCCGUCGUUUGGCUUGACCUU
Molecule: ribosomal RNA, 295 nt
Filed under: Candidatus Omnitrophota bacterium
Lineage: Bacteria; Pseudomonadati; Candidatus Omnitrophota
Description: Candidatus Omnitrophica bacterium partial 23S ribosomal RNA
Rfam family: Bacterial large subunit ribosomal RNA
Source: RNAcentral